This 164-nucleotide ribosomal RNA is filed under the name uncultured bacterium. Its description in RNAcentral is "partial 16S rRNA". It matches the Rfam family "Bacterial small subunit ribosomal RNA", at positions 355 to 511 of the family's 1533-position model. The record is from RNAcentral.
UAGGGAAUCUUCCACAAUGGGCGAAAGCCUGAUGGAGCAAUGCCGCGUGUGUGAUGAAGGGUUUCGGCUCGUAAAACACUGUUGUAAGAGAAGAAUGACAUUGAGAGUAACUGUUCAAUGUGUGACGGUAUCUUACCAGAAAGGAACGGCUAAAUACGUGCCAA